Molecule: ribosomal RNA, 492 nt
Filed under: uncultured bacterium
Lineage: Bacteria
Description: bacterial SSU rRNA
Rfam family: Bacterial small subunit ribosomal RNA
Source: RNAcentral
AUUGAACGCUGGCGGCAUGCCUCAUACAUGCAAGUCGAACGGCAGCGGGAGAAAGCUUGCUUUCUUGCCGGCGAGUGGCGGACGGGUGCGUAAUGCGUAGGAACUUGCCCUGAAGAGGGGGACAACCCGGGGAAACUCGGGCUAAAACCGCAUAAUACUCUUUGGAGGAAAGAUGCCUGCUUCGGCAGGUGUUACUUUAGGAGAGGCCUACGUUGGAUUAGCUUGUUGGUGGGGUAAAAGCCUACCAAGGCAAUGAUCCAUAGCUGUUCUGAGAGGAAGAUCAGCCACACUGGGACUGAGACACGGCCCAGACUCCUACGGGAGGCAGCAGUAGGGAAUAUUGGACAAUGGGGGAAAACCCUGAUCCAGCAAUGUCGCGUGUGUGAAGAAGGCCUGCGGGUUGUAAAGCACUUUUAAUGGGGAGGAAUAGUUCCAUGUUAAUAGCGUGGAGCAGUGACGUUACCCAUAGAAUAAGCACCGGCAAACUCUGUG